RNAcentral lists this long non-coding RNA (2220 nucleotides) under Arabidopsis thaliana (thale cress). RNAcentral's name for it is "potential natural antisense gene, locus overlaps with AT5G18240 (AT5G18245)". The record is from RNAcentral. Lineage: Eukaryota; Viridiplantae; Streptophyta; Magnoliopsida; Brassicales; Brassicaceae.
GUCCUCUUGCCCGAAUUCGGAUAAAACCAGUUUAACCCGACCCAGAUCUAUGCGAACCGACCCGGUUUGAAAAAAGGCGUCGGACAAUCCCCAAUCUCUCGUCGUUCGACGGGGCCAUUCGUUUCUCACUUUCCGGUUUUUCUUCGAUUUGCAACGUUGUGAAUGCUUACACAUCUAUGGGACUUCUUCUUGAAGACGAGAUUCUCGGUUCUGCGUUGUUAACCAUUGUUGAAAGAUAUGGCCUGUUGUGAUUCUCUCUGAGGCUUUCUUCUUCUGCCCAUGUGAGCUCCAUUCUAUGGAAGAAUGGCUCUUCCAUUAUCUCUUUCUGCUCUGAAGUUGAAUCUCCAAUAUAUGUUCUUAAUCCCAGUCUGUUGUCAAGCAUCUUUGGGGCUUUCUGAGUUCCUUCACUUGAGGUUAGGCAACUGUCCAGGGAGGAGUUAGGUGGAUACGUUUUUUGCAUCUGUUGAUGGUGUAGAUUCUGCAGUUCUUUCGGUUCGAGGAAACUAGAGUCUGGAUAGUCUGCUGAUACUUUAGAUACUAAUUCUGAGAGUUGAGCUUUUGUUGCUUCAAUCCCAGCUGCACCUAGGUUCUGUCUUCCAAGAGUCUCUUGUGCUUUCUCCAGAAUCGAUUGCAGAGUACAGUAUAUGAUAGAUACCUCAAGUUGCUCGUGUAGCCGUCUCUGGACCUCUAUUUGCAUUUGAAGGGCAUCACUUAUGGGGGGGUUUUCUUCUACCAUGGUCAUCACACCUAAACCAGGUUGCUUUUAGUUUACUUGAAGGAAAAUAGUAUGAAAAAAGAAUGAAUCUUUAGAUUAAAAUAUUUUUGUAUCUGAGUAAUGAAUAACUAAGCUUACUUGUCUUGUUUAAACUGCUGUUAGCUUGUCCAUUAAGAUUCUUGCUUAGCCUAUAUUUCUGGUAGUCAAAUCAUGAUAUUAAUAAUCUUUGUAAAACAAAAAACAGAUAUUACAGAUUUUUCAUAUCUUGACAUAUCGUCAUUUUUGUGCUACUUUAAUAGUUUUCUACCAAUCGAAUUGAUGAACGAGUCAUGUAAGUUUAGGGCCUUGGGCAUAUGACUGUAUAAAGUGUUGAUGGAUUACCUGAAGAUGACUCUUGAGAUGGUAUAAGGUAAGGCCUGGAAUGCCCAUGACUUUCAUGAUUGUCUUAGGAGUAGCCUCUGCGCAGACAAAAGUAUACACAUUAAUACAUUAUGUUCAAAAAGCCUGAUUGUAAAAGAUGGUUCAUUUGCUUAUAAGAUAACUUACUAUCUCCUCCUCCAAGCUGGUUGACCGCUUCAACAAAUCUCUCGUGAAGAUCUGGAGUCCAUUUUAGUCGUGGCUUUGCAUCAGUGGAGAGAAUGAGUCCAGAAUCUCCUGUGCCAUUUCCUCUGAGGAACGGAUGCCUUUCAGAAGAAAUGGGCAUUCUCGAUGAAGAGAGGAUGCUCUUUCCUUGGUGCUGGUUGUGGUAAUACAUAAGUCUGUCUUCAAAAUAAAAAGGCCGGGGUCUCUCAAGAGUAAAAAGUCUUUGCAACUUUGCUUUAUAUAGAAAGUUGAAUGGCAAAAAGGCAAAUUAGAGGAUGAUAACUAAGGGGAAUUCAUUCUUUUUCCUUAUUCCUCAAUUUUUUCAAAGUCCACAGCUCCAACCUCUCUAUCUCUUGAGGGAGCAUAAUUCAACACGUGGGAUUGUGAUUCGCUUGAUUGAAUGAGAGAGGAUUGGAUACAUAAAACAGGAGGAAGCGGGAAAUGACCGCGGAAUUAUAUUCGUUUGGAGAGAAAAUGGAGGGUAAUAAGUGGGUUCGUUCAUGAGAUUCUAGAGAAUGAGAAUAUGAGAAUCCAAAACUAAAGAAAGCUUGGUGAGUCGCAUUCUCAACUCAAGAAUCUUUUUUGUUCAUCACAACCCGAACCCAAAAAAAAAAAGAGACUAUUCGGGUCUAUUUCUUUCCCCUUUUACUUAGUCUCGAUUUUUGUGGAUAUUUUAAUGAAUUGUGAUUCUUAUAAGCACAACAAAAGAUUAGGAGAAUCAUUGUAGGAGUUUUGUGUUCACCACAAGGCAGUGUUGUCUGCAUCCAACCGAAUCAUGUAGCAGUUUUGUUAUAUUGGUUUGAAUAUUAUGAAACUAUAAAAAAUCGAGGGCACUGCGACUGGACGCAAACGCAAAUGCUGGCUAAAUUAUUCGACAAGUCGGAUCAUUAUAAAGAGUUGAUUGUCUAGUUGCAAGUAGUUGG